This 468-nucleotide ribosomal RNA is filed under the name uncultured bacterium. Its description in RNAcentral is "partial 16S ribosomal RNA". It matches the Rfam family "Bacterial small subunit ribosomal RNA", at positions 28 to 507 of the family's 1533-position model. The record is from RNAcentral.
GACGAACGCUGGCGGCGUGCUUAACACAUGCAAGUCGAACGGAAAGGCCCUGCUUUUGUGGGGUGCUCGAGUGGCGAACGGGUGAGUAACACGUGAGUAACCUGCCCUUGACUUUGGGAUAACUUCAGGAAACUGGGGCUAAUACCGGAUAGGAGCUCCUGCUGCAUGGUGGGGGUUGGAAAGUUUCGGCGGUUGGGGAUGGACUCGCGGCUUAUCAGCUUGUUGGGGGGGUAGUGGCUUACCAAGGCUUUGACGGGUAGCCGGCCUGAGAGGGUGACCGGCCACAUUGGGACUGAGAUACGGCCCAGACUCCUACGGGAGGCAGCAGUGGGGAAUAUUGCACAAUGGGCGGAAGCCUGAUGCAGCGACGCCGCGUGCGGGAUGACGGCCUUCGGGUUGUAAACCGCUUUCGCCUGUGACGAAGCGUGAGUGACGGUAAUGGGUAAAGAAGCACCGGCUAACUACGUG